ACCAAUACGUACUUCGGUGCGGCAACAUUGGUGAUUCAUAAUAACUUGAACGAAUCGCAAUAUACCUUUCGGGGUGGCGAUGGUUCAUUCAAAUUUCUGCCCUAUCAACUUUGGAUGGUAGUAUAGAGGACUACCAUGGUGAUAACGGGUGACGGAGAAUUAGGGUUCGAUUCCGGAGAGGGAGCCUGAGAGAUGGCUACCACUUCUAAGGAAGGUAGCAGGCGCGCAAAUUACCCAAUCCCGAUACGGGGAGGUAGUGACAAUAAAUAACAAUACAGGUCUUGACAAAAGUCGUGUAAUUGGAAUGAGAGCAAUGUAAACACCUCAGCGAGUAACAAUUGGAGGGCAAGUCUGGUGCCAGCAGCCGCGGUAAUUCCAGCUCCAAUAGCGUAUAUUAAAGUUGUUGCAGUUAAAGAGCUCGUAGUUGGAUCUUGGGAUAUGUGAUGUCUGGUCCGCCCGCAAAGGGUGUGUACUGACGUUGCUGUCCUCAACCUUCCGGACUAUCCACCGCUGCUAUUAACUUAGUGGCGCCAAAAAGUGUGCUUAGAAUUAAACACUCUGGGUACAUGGGAACCGGAACAUUUACUUUGAAAAAAUUAGAGUGUUCAAAGCAGACAAGUAUAUGUCAUUGAAUAGAUUAGCAUGGGAUAAUAGAAUAGGACCAUGUCCUUAUUUUGUUGGUUUUCGAGGAUGCGGUAAUGAUUAAUAGGGACGGUCGGGGGCAUUGGUAUUUAGUUGUCAGAGGUGAAAUUCACAGAUUUACGAAAGACCAACAUAGGCGAAAGCAUUUGCCAAGGAUGUUUUCAUUAAUCAAGAACGAAAGUUCGGGGAUCGAAGACGAUCAGAUACCGUCGUAGUCCGGACCAUAAACUAUGCCGACCAGAGAUCGAAGGACGUUAAAAUUUAAAUUAUGACUCCUCCGGCAUCUUGUGAGAAAUCAUAAGUGUUUGGGUCCUGGGGGGAGUAUGGUCACAAGGCUGAAACUUAAAGGAAUUGACGGAAGGGCACACCAGAGGUGGAACCUGCGGCUUAAUUUGACCCAACACGGGAAAACUCACCAGGUCCGGACAUAGGGAGGAUUGACAGAUUGAGAGCUCUUUCUUGAUUCUAUGGGUGGUGGUGCAUGGCCGUUCUUAGUUCGUGGAAUGAUCUGUCUGCUUAAUUGCGAUAACGAACGAGACUUCAACCUACUAAAUAGUUAUGCGUAUUCUACUACAAAAAACCAAGGUCUAGUUAACUUGCAUAAUGGCUACGGUUGUUGUGUGAGAAGGCUUCUCUUUGGCGGUUGAAUAUGUAGCAAACUUCUUAGAGGAACUACU
This 1319-nucleotide ribosomal RNA is filed under the name metagenome. RNAcentral describes it as "SSU rRNA". It matches the Rfam family "Eukaryotic small subunit ribosomal RNA", at positions 221 to 1424 of the family's 1831-position model. The record is from RNAcentral.